GGGGCACAUAGACAUUGAACAUAGCCCGGUAACCAUCAAUACGGCUAAAGCUUAAACCAGACAUAGUUGAAUAAACCAACAAUUAUACUCACUAAAGUAUCGACUUGGAGGUACAUAAUAUAACAAUUGCCUCACAUGAGCUAAUAAGAUCACAGGAAACAAAUGUCUAAUAAAACAUAUAAGUCUGCUGCAUAGGCAUGAACACAUGAAAGUAACUUGAGGCGGAUAGAUAUGAAUAGAUAUUACCCCUUUUUGAGCUCAACAAAGUCCAACCUCUUCAAACACAGCCCAUCUUUUCUUCCAAAUGUCGAAACAUCGUGCAAUGUUGCAGCCCCAUCUCGCCGCAAGGAAGAUUA
RNAcentral lists this unclassified non-coding RNA (356 nucleotides) under Hevea brasiliensis (rubber tree). The record is from RNAcentral. Lineage: Eukaryota; Viridiplantae; Streptophyta; Magnoliopsida; Malpighiales; Euphorbiaceae.